Thamnophis sirtalis is the source of this 316-nucleotide non-coding RNA. The record is from RefSeq and is a predicted model, not a curated record. Lineage: Eukaryota; Metazoa; Chordata; Lepidosauria; Squamata; Natricidae.
AUCUCACACCUCCUGCCAGCAAAAUCCAGCCACCCAUAACCCCAGACCUGGAAACACGGUUGCUGAAUAUUGUUUUAAGACGUCUCAUAGGAAAUGGACCUGAACGGCAACUAGAAAUCUGUGAUAAGACCCUAUAUAGACAAGCUUCCAUGGCUUUUGCAGCAAUGCUUAAGGGCUUGUUGGCUGAGGCACCAACAAUAGAGCAUCUCCAUAACAUCCUGGGGCAUUUCACAAAGUACAUAACAUCCAACAAUCGUCUAGAAAAAGUCCAGGCUAUCAAGGCCACCAAUUAUCUACUUAUGGAAGCUUAUCAUAA